This is a small RNA of Xanthomonas oryzae pv. oryzae, 76 nucleotides long. It matches the Rfam family "Xanthomonas sRNA sX9". The record is from Rfam. NCBI's taxonomy places the organism in Bacteria, Pseudomonadati, Pseudomonadota, Gammaproteobacteria, Lysobacterales, Lysobacteraceae.
AUGUCCCACGCGUACCUGCGGUUCUGAGCGCGCCGUCCGUCCCCACCUGACGACUGCUCGCUACGUUCUGCUAACG